Molecule: long non-coding RNA, 590 nt
Filed under: Numida meleagris (helmeted guineafowl)
Lineage: Eukaryota; Metazoa; Chordata; Aves; Galliformes; Numididae
Description: lncRNA (ENSNMEG00000016794.1)
Source: RNAcentral
CCCUCCCAGGACUGAAUGAAGUCUUCUAGCCAAAAAGAGUUGACAGAAAGCACUAUUCACAAAUUCUCCAGUUGAGAGUCAGCAAGGCAUCGAGGAGCUAUGAAAUCUGAUUUCUCAGCCUAGAACAUUCUUUCUUUGGCUUCAGAAGUUUAACCAAAAGAUGAUUCAAAUUAAAAAUAACAAAUUCAAAAUAAGAAGUCUUCAUUGAGCUUGUAUAAUAGGAAAAAAAGAAAUAGAGAAAGUUUAUGUCACUCUGGAUACUUGCUUUUCCAGCAGGAUUAGAUGAGCUGCCUCUGAAGAAGCCCAUCCCAUCCCCUUGACUCUAAACAGAGCUGAGGCAACAUGUGUCUAACUUUCAGAUAGCUAAACAUGGCCAAGGAAAGUCCACCUGUAGUCCUCUAAGUCCCUUGACUUUCCCUUCGAUGCCUUUGAAGAAUGUUUGCCUUCUCUGCGCUCACAAGCACUUCACCGUCAGUGGGAAACAGGCAAUUGAUUGAUGUACAAGCCACUUCCCUCUGGGCUUGAACUGUGAAGGACGUGGUCAUCCACAGCUGUAGUAACUCUGAGAUGGCAGAGGAAGUGAAGGAGUG